RNAcentral lists this long non-coding RNA (1590 nucleotides) under Homo sapiens (human). RNAcentral's name for it is "long independently transcribed non-coding RNA 2765 (LINC02765)". Lineage: Eukaryota; Metazoa; Chordata; Mammalia; Primates; Hominidae. The record is from RNAcentral.
AGAUCCCACUUCCUGUCCCACCCAGCCCCAAAUGUCCGUGGAACCGGCCCCACUAACCUGCAUCCAGCUGCCUCUUCCACCUGGGCCCUGCUCUCAGAUGGAAGUGUCACCAAACACCCAGAUCGCCGUGCUCCUGCUUCUCUGGGUUCAAUGAGACCCUCCACCCAGAUGAGCAUGAGCCCAGCCAGGGUGGGCUGUUCAGUUUCUUCCCUGGGAAUCUGGAGCUGGAUUGAGCUGGUCUGCAGAGUGGACACAACCUGAAAACCAACUGGACUGAGCAUCCUUCUCCUAAAAUCUCAGCCAGAAGCCACGAUGGAGGGUCCUGGGAAGGGAAGAGAUGUGAAGAUUUCUGUGAUUCUAAAACCUUGGGUCUGCCUGCAAACUUCUCUCUGAUCCCAGCCGAGAGCUGUGCACACGCUAGCUAGCCCUGUCACACAAUAGCCCAGUGUUCCCGUCACAGUGCCUGGGAAUGAGAGGCUUUUGAGGCCACAGAGCUAUGACAAGUCCCCAGGUUGAAUUGACUCUGGGAGGACAAAUUUCUGAGAGACUCACGGGACCCUUAUCCAGGACAACCUCACAAAGAUCCCUGAAACUGAGCUUCCUCUGCUUCGUGCAUAGUUUGAGGUAUAAACUUUCCUUGUGUCUCGGUCAGAUGAAGUGAAGGAUGAAUAUUAUCCCAGGCUAAAGUAACGAAAAGUCCAGAAGCCAGCGAUGACAGAGAUGUGUGUGGAAGAAGGCUGUGAGCAUUUCCAUCAAACCCUGUGAGUUUCCGAAGAUCUUAUCCCGAAGAUAUGUGUUUGGCCAAUAAAACACUGAAUAAAAAUCCAUCAUGUUUCCAGAGCCAAGUCGACUUCUGCUGGGCUGGGGUGAGGCAGAGGCAGAAUCAGACCUUAUAAAGAUGUUUUGAAUAGCGGCUGUUCUGGGAUCGCAGCCCAGUGACAGUGAAUGCUUUCUGAGUUCUCGGAUGAGAAGGAACAGAGUGACAGACUGACCAUAACUGGCCACUGUGGUGUGUGCUCAGCUCCAGACCAGCACCUUAUUUGGUGGGGGGAGAGGGUUCAAGGCCCCAGCGAGACAGUGAGUCCUGGUAGGGAAGGAACUCUGGCCAAGCUGCAGGCUGUGCAGUGGAGUGGGUUAGGAGGGGCCCUCGGGGAGGGAAGAACAAGGAGAGAGGGAAGUGAGAGGAAAGGAGGUUUCUCCUUCAUCUAAAUCCCAAGUAUACACCCUUCUAAGGUCUGUUCUGGCCCUUCCCUAGGGAGUGCCUUCCCCUCUACCUGCCAGGUCCCAUAGAUAAGGAUGUCCUCCCCUGCAGGCGCCUGGCCUCCAUCACAGCAUGCCCACUCUGUGCCCGCUGCAACCUCCUCUGACUCUCCCACUAGACCGGUGCCUGGUACACAUGCUCCUGCGUGCAUGAACAUCGGUCAGCUAUGGGUCCUCAAGAUGACAAAACCCCCUGCUCCUGUGUCCUCACGGGGAUCUGCACCAGCACUGGGCUGAACACUCUCCCUGCAAUCUGUCAGUCACGUCUUCUGUAGCAUUUUCUUUCUGGCAACAACGGUUGGGGUCAUUAAAAGUGUCUUUGAAAUGCAA